This 216-nucleotide ribosomal RNA is filed under the name uncultured bacterium. RNAcentral's name for it is "partial 16S ribosomal RNA". It matches the Rfam family "Bacterial small subunit ribosomal RNA", at positions 524 to 740 of the family's 1533-position model. The record is from RNAcentral.
UACGAAGGGGGCUAGCGUUGCUCGGAAUUACUGGGCGUAAAGGGCGCGUAGGCGGGUCGUAAGUAGGGGGUGAAAGCCCAGGGCUCAACCCUGGAAUUGCCUUCUAAACUGGCGACCUUGAGUAUGGCAGAGGUGUGUGGAACUCCGAGUGUAGAGGUGAAAUUCGUAGAUAUCGGAAGAACACCAGUGGCCGAAGGCGACACACUGGGCCAUUAC